GAUGAACGCUGGCGGCGUGCUUAACACAUGCAAGUCGAACGGUGAAGGCGGAGCUUGCUCUGCUGGAUCAGUGGCGAACGGGUGAGUAACACGUGAGCAAUCUGCCCCUGUCUCUGGGAUAAGCGCUGGAAACGGCGUCUAAUACUGGAUACGAGCUGCGAAGGCAUCUUCAGCAGCUGGAAAGAACUUCGGUCAGGGAUGAGCUCGCGGCCUAUCAGCUUGUUGGUGAGGUAACGGCUCACCAAGGCGUCGACGGGUAGCCGGCCUGAGAGGGUGACCGGCCACACUGGGACUGAGACACGGCCCAGACUCCUACGGGAGGCAGCAGUGGGGAAUAUUGCACAAUGGGCGAAAGCCUGAUGCAGCAACGCCGCGUGAGGGACGACGGCCUUCGGGUUGUAAACCUCUUUUAGCAGGGAAGAAGCGAAAGUGACGGUACCUGCAGAAAAAGCGCCGGCUAACUACGUG
This 468-nucleotide ribosomal RNA is filed under the name uncultured bacterium. Its description in RNAcentral is "partial 16S ribosomal RNA". It matches the Rfam family "Bacterial small subunit ribosomal RNA", at positions 28 to 507 of the family's 1533-position model. The record is from RNAcentral.